This 834-nucleotide ribosomal RNA is filed under the name archaeal str. vp183. Its description in RNAcentral is "bacterial SSU rRNA". It matches the Rfam family "Archaeal small subunit ribosomal RNA", at positions 38 to 866 of the family's 1478-position model. Lineage: Archaea; Methanobacteriati; Methanobacteriota; Methanococci; Methanococcales. The record is from RNAcentral.
ACCCAAUGCCGAGUCCUAUGGGACCUUCGGGUCCCAAUGGMCUUCGGCCCAUGGCGGACGGCUCAGUAACACGUGGCUAACCUACCCUCGGGUGGGGGAUAACCUCGGGAAACUGAGGAUAAUACCCCAUAGGAGAAGAGGUCUGGAAUGAUCCUUCUCUGAAAACAUAUGUGCCCGAGGAUGGGGCUGCGUCUGAUUAGGUAGUUGGUGGGGUAACGGCCCACCAAGCCUACGAUCAGUACGGGCCUUGAGAGAGGCAGCCCGGAGAUGGGGACUGAGACACGGCCCCAGGCCUACGGGGCGCAGAGGCGCGAAACCUCCGCAAUGCACGAAAGUGCGANCGGGGGGACCCAAGUGCUUACGCACUGCGUAGGCUUUUCUAAAGUGUAAAAAGCUUUAGGAAUAAGGGCUGGGCAAGUCCGGUGCCAGCAGCCGCGGUAACACCGGCGGCCCGAGUGGUGACCACUUUUAUUGGGCCUAAAGCGUCCGUAGCCGGUCCAGUAAGUCCCUGUUUAAAUCCUACGGCUUAACCGUAGGGCUGGCAGGGAUACUGCUGGACUUGGGACCGGGAGAGGGCGAGGGUACUUCAGGGGUAGCGGUGAAAUGUGUUGAUCCCUGGAGGACCACCUAUGGCGAAGGCACUCGCCUGGAACGGGUCCGACGGUGAGGGACGAAAGCCAGGGGCGCGAACCGGAUUAGAUACCCGGGUAGUCCUGGCCGUAAACUCUGCGGACUAGGUGUUAGGUAGGCCCCGUGCCUAUCUAGUGCCGAAGGGAAGCCGUUAAGUCCGCCGCCUGGGGAGUACGGUCGGAAGACUUAAAACUUAAAGGAAUU